GAUGAACGCUGGCGGCGUGCCUAAUACAUGCAAGUCGAGCGAACAGACGAGGAGCUUGCUCCUCUGACGUUAGCGGCGGACGGGUGAGUAACACGUGGAUAACCUACCUAUAAGACUGGGAUAACUUCGGGAAACCGGAGCUAAUACCGGAUAAUAUAUUGAACCGCAUGGUUCAAUAGUGAAAGACGGUUUUGCUGUCACUUAUAGAUGGAUCCGCGCCGCAUAGCUAGUUGGUAAGGUAACGGCUUACCAAGGCGACGAUGCGUAGCCGACCUGAGAGGGUGAUCGGCCACACUGGAACUGAGACACGGUCCAGACUCCUACGGGAGGCAGCAGUAGGGAAUCUUCCGCAAUGGGCGAAAGCCUGACGGAGCAACGCCGCGUGAGUGAUGAAGGUCUUCGGAUCGUAAAACUCUGUUAUUAGGGAAGAACAAAUGUGUAAGUAACUAUGCACGUCUUGACGGUACCUAAUCAGAAAGCCACGGCUAACUACGUG
This 496-nucleotide ribosomal RNA is filed under the name uncultured bacterium. RNAcentral describes it as "partial 16S ribosomal RNA". It matches the Rfam family "Bacterial small subunit ribosomal RNA", at positions 28 to 507 of the family's 1533-position model. The record is from RNAcentral.